AUUUUGAGUCUUUUAGAUUUUUAUAAUAUAAUAUUUACAAAAUUCACGUUGACCUGCAAUGCUCUCGCGAAAGGAAAUUGUGUCUAUCUUACUCCUGUUGACAGCGCUGAUCUGCAUAUUGAAUGCGGCUUUGUUUGGCAACAUAAUGCCCCUAUCCACGAGCUAUGAGCAGUUGGCUGAACAAACCAUUAACGCAGGCACCGCCUACAUUUGCAUCCUGUACGCCCUGAGCACAUGGGUAUAUCAUUCAAACUACUCGGAGCCCCGACGGCAAAUACGCUAUGUGCUAAUUGCAAUGCUGAUACUUUUGAUUGCGGCCAACUUGACCGGGCUCAUAACGGUCAUUCAAACACUGUUCAUAUCCGACCUAAUGGAUGCCUUGAGCACGAGGGAUCUGUUCAGCUCGUUUGGUUAUUUGUGUCGCACAGUGACAGCUGUGCUGUUCGUGAUAACACUUUUGCUGCUGAUCAUUAUUCUGAUAAUUGUCACUAUAACCGCAUUCAAGCAUUCGUGGUCCAUAUCGAGCCGUCAGGAUUCUAAGGAAGAUUUGCCAUAACAAGAAUAUUCUGCAGCAGCUGCCAUUCGGCUGGCAGAAAUUGGUUUUCAUUUAAUGUCAAAAACUUUGUGUUGCCUGCGUGCCAAAAAGUAUAUAAAUAUUUUACUCGUAACCCAAACUGAGGCUCCACCAGUCCUGAUGUCUGGCAGGCACCUCAAGCAACAGCUGCAACUGCUCUGAUGAUACCCUGGGCACAUUCAUAUAUGACUG
This 766-nucleotide unclassified non-coding RNA is filed under the name Drosophila virilis. Its description in RNAcentral is "GJ10367". Lineage: Eukaryota; Metazoa; Arthropoda; Insecta; Diptera; Drosophilidae. The record is from RNAcentral.